CCGGGGAUUGCCGAAAACCCGCACAAAGAGUAGGCA
Molecule: regulatory RNA element, 36 nt
Organism: Chitinophaga jiangningensis
Lineage: Bacteria; Pseudomonadati; Bacteroidota; Chitinophagia; Chitinophagales; Chitinophagaceae
Rfam family: DUF805b RNA
About the family: Bacteroidetes, Chlorobi (1 example), Proteobacteria. Lineage (Flavobacteria)
Source: Rfam